GACGAACGCUGGCGGCGUGCUUAACACAUGCAAGUCGAACGGAAAGGCCCUGCUUUUGUGGGGUGCUCGAGUGGCGAACGGGUGAGUAACACGUGAGUAACCUGCCCUUGACUUUGGGAUAACUUCAGGAAACUGGGGCUAAUACCGGAUAGGAGCUCCUGCUGCAUGGUGGGGGUUGGAAAGUUUCGGCGGUUGGGGAUGGACUCGCGGCUUAUCAGCUUGUUGGUGGGGUAGUGGCUUACCAAGGCUUUGACGGGUAGCCGGCCUGAGAGGGUGACCGGCCACAUUAGGACUGAGAUACGGCCCAGACUCCUACAGGAGGCAGCAGUGGGGAAUAUUGCACAAUGGGCGGAAGCCUGAUGCAGCAACGCCGCGUGCGGGAUGACGGCCUUCGGGUUGUAAACCGCUUUCGCCUGUGACGAAGCGUGAGUGACGGUAAUGGGUAAAGAAGCACCGACUAACUACGUG
Molecule: ribosomal RNA, 468 nt
Filed under: uncultured bacterium
Lineage: Bacteria
Description: partial 16S ribosomal RNA
Rfam family: Bacterial small subunit ribosomal RNA
Source: RNAcentral